CGGCGUGCUUAACACAUGCAAGUCGAACGAGGCUGAUAUUUAGCUUGCUAUUUGAUGCCGAGUGGCAAACGGGUAGAGUAACGCGUAGACAACCUGCCGCAAAGAUGGGGACAACAGUCCGAAGGACUGCUAAUACCGAAUGUUGUCAUUUCUCCGCAUGGAGGGAUGAUUAAAGGUGGCCUCUACUUGUAAGCUAUCGCUUUGCGAUGGGUCUGCGUCUGAUUAGCUAGUUGGUGGGGUAACGGCCUACCAAGGCGACGAUCAGUAGCCGGUCUGAGAGGAUGAACGGCCACAUUGGAACUGAGACACGGUCCAGACUCCUACGGGAGGCAGCAGUGGGGAAUCUUCCGCAAUGGGCGAAAGCCUGACGGAGCAACGCCGCGUGAGUGAAAGAAGGGUUUCGGCUCGUAAAGCUCUGUUGACGGGGACGAAUGUGCGAAAUGCGAACAGUUUUUCGCAAUGACGGUACCCGUCGAGGAAGCCACGGCUAACUACGUGCCAGCAGCUGC
Molecule: ribosomal RNA, 509 nt
Filed under: uncultured bacterium
Lineage: Bacteria
Description: bacterial SSU rRNA
Rfam family: Bacterial small subunit ribosomal RNA
Source: RNAcentral